CUCCUUGCAAAAACCCGCUCUUUAAAGCUCAAUCAGAGUAAACAUCAAUCUGCGGAAAACCCAAAUUGAAGUUUACUCCGAUUCAGCUCUAAAGAGCGGGUUUUCGCAGGAAA
Molecule: non-coding RNA, 113 nt
Organism: Podarcis lilfordi (Lilford's wall lizard)
Lineage: Eukaryota; Metazoa; Chordata; Lepidosauria; Squamata; Lacertidae
Source: the annotation of a GenBank genome assembly